Molecule: ribosomal RNA, 844 nt
Filed under: uncultured bacterium
Lineage: Bacteria
Description: bacterial SSU rRNA
Rfam family: Bacterial small subunit ribosomal RNA
Source: RNAcentral
GGGUGAUUAACACGCGGGUAACCUACCCUUGGGUUCGGGACAACCCCGCGAAAGCGGGGCUAAUACCGGAUGUGAUCUGGAGGUCUCCGGACUUCCAGAUGAAAGAUGGGGACCCCUUCGGGGGCCUGUCACCCUUGGAUGGGCCCGCGGCCUAUUAGCUAGUUGGUGAGGUAACCGCUCACCAAGGCGAUGAUGGGUAGCUGGUCUGAGAGGAUGGUCAGCCACACUGGGACUGAGACACUGCCCAGACUCCUACGGGAGGCUGCAGUCGAGAAUCUUUCGCAAUGGGGGCAACCCUGACGAAGCGACGCCGCGUGUGGGAUGAAGGCCUUCGGGUUGUAAACCACUGUCACAAGGGACGAAACGCGAUUCCGUGAACAACGGAAACGCCUGACGGUACCUUGAGAGGAAGCCACGGCUAACUCUGUGCCAGCAGCCGCGGUAAUACAGAGGUGGCGAGCGUUGUUCGGAUUCAUUGGGUGUAAAGGGUUCGUGGGCGGCUUUGCAAGUCAGGUGUGAAAUCUUGCGGCUCAACCGCAAAACUGCAUUUGAUACUGCCGAGCUAGAGCGCGAUAGAGGAAGAUGGAAUUCCCGGUGUAAGGGUGAAAUCUUCAGAUAUCGGGAGGAACACCAGUAGCGAAGGCGAUCUUCUGGGUCGUUGCUGACGCUGAAGAACGAAAGCUGGGGGAGCAAACAGGAUUAGAUACCCUGGUAGUCCCAGCCGUAAACGAUGAGGACUAGGUGUUGGCCCCGUACUGGGGUCGGUGCCGCAGCUAACGCAUUAAGUCCUCCACCUGGGGAGUACGACCGCAAGGUUGAAACUCAAAGGAAUUGACGGGGACCC